This is a long non-coding RNA of Capsicum annuum, 807 nucleotides long. RefSeq lists it as uncharacterized. Lineage: Eukaryota; Viridiplantae; Streptophyta; Magnoliopsida; Solanales; Solanaceae. The record is from RefSeq and is a predicted model, not a curated record. The transcript is spliced from 2 exons.
UAGUACAUCUUACGCGUCUUUCCCUUGGAAAAAUUAAUACACGCAUAGAUUUUACAGUGAGCAAUCAUCGUGUAGUCCCAAUCUCCUUUUCUCAAAACAACAACGAUAGCCGCCCCCUUCACCCUUCUCAUCCCCGGCCCUUCUCCACUUUGCCAAAAAUGGAACCUCCUUAACCAUUAUAGCUGGCCACCUGCCACCACCUGCACAUGAAUCCCACCAAAAUCGACCCUCCAACCCACGAAUCCUUUAAGAAUGAAAAAAAUAAUCCCCUAAUCCAUAUAACAACAGAAAAAUGAGUCAAAAUUGUCAUUAAUGGCCUGGAAAAGCAAGAGAUUUGUUUCAGAUUUUUAAAUCAAUUUUAAACCAAGUUUUCUUAUCAUGUUUUGCUUAAAUCGAGAAAGUCCAGAUUCCCCUAUAAAUAUAGGUCCUCGUCAUCUGUAAGGGGGCAGACAAAAAAUUUGUGAGAAACUCAGAGAGAAAAGAAACAAAGUAAGAAAAAAGAGCAAAUAUCUGUGAGAAAAAAAAAGUAAAAGGUCGGUGGAAAGAGAUGGAGUUCUUAUUUUUCAAACUCAUUCGUGAUCCAGAAGAGUUUUGGGUCAGCAACUAUAAGAGGACCGCACACAGUCAGUCAAGUAUUAGGAGUUUUGAGUUUCAAGGAACCCAACGCUGUAAUUUUCAUUGUCCUUUACAUCAUGUUAUUAUUAUUUCAUUGUUACUUGCUAAAAUGCUUUGUGUGAUUUGGCAUAGACUAAGCAACUUUGUUAAAAGAAUCUUCAAUCCAUCAUUAACGUAUAUCGUUGUUUCUUA